UACAGAGGCCCCAAGCAUUAUCCGGAAUCACUGGGCGUAAAGGGUGCGUAGGUGGCGUUAUUAGUCCUAUCUCAAAUCCUUCGGGCUCAACCCGAAGGCUCGAUAGGAAACGGUAGCGCUAGAGGAUGUAAGAGGUAUGUGGAACUCACGGUGUAGGGGUGAAAUCCGUUGAUAUCGUGGGGAACACCGAAUGCGAAGGCAGCAUACUGGGACAUUCCUGACACUGAGGCACGAAAGCGUGGGUAGCGAAAAGG
Molecule: ribosomal RNA, 254 nt
Filed under: uncultured bacterium
Lineage: Bacteria
Description: partial 16S ribosomal RNA
Rfam family: Bacterial small subunit ribosomal RNA
Source: RNAcentral